RNAcentral lists this ribosomal RNA (393 nucleotides) under uncultured bacterium. Its description in RNAcentral is "partial 16S ribosomal RNA". It matches the Rfam family "Bacterial small subunit ribosomal RNA", at positions 523 to 918 of the family's 1533-position model. The record is from RNAcentral.
AUACGGAGGAUGCGAGCGUUAUCCGGAUUUAUUGGGUUUAAAGGGUGCGUAGGCGGUUUUUUAAGUCAGCGGUGAAACGCAAGGGCUCAACCCUUGACCUGCCGUUGAAACUGGAGGACUUGAAUGCGGAUGCUGUGGGAGGAAUGUGUGGUGUAGCGGUGAAAUGCAUAGAUAUCACACAGAACACCGAUUGCGAAGGCAUCUCACAAAUCCGUGAUUGACACUGAGGCACGAAAGUGUGGGGAGCAAACAGGAUUAGAUACCCUGGUAGGCCACACUGUAAACGAUGAUGACUCGCUGUCGGCGAUAUACAGUCGGUGGCCAAGCGAAAGCGAUAAGUCAUCCACCUGGGGAGUACGACCGCAAGGUUGAAACUCAAAGGAAUUGACGGGG